GGGGUUGUGGCUCAGAGGUAGAGCACUUGCCUAGCAUGCAUAAGGCAGUGGGUUUGAUCCCCAGCACCA
RNAcentral lists this transfer RNA (69 nucleotides) under Ictidomys tridecemlineatus (thirteen-lined ground squirrel). RNAcentral describes it as "Spermophilus tridecemlineatus (thirteen-lined ground squirrel) tRNA". It matches the Rfam family "tRNA". From Rfam's summary of the family: Transfer RNA (tRNA) molecules are approximately 80 nucleotides in length. Their secondary structure includes four short double-helical elements and three loops (D, anti-codon, and T loops). Lineage: Eukaryota; Metazoa; Chordata; Mammalia; Rodentia; Sciuridae. The record is from Rfam by way of RNAcentral.